AUGUCAUUUGCCGGCGUCUCGCUCGUCGGCGACGGCAAGGCCGUCGGCCAUGCCAUCGACGUCUCCACGACCAGCGGCUACCACCUGCUCGUGGUUAAUCGGUACUCGCACACCAAAGCCACUACACCUAAUGGCAAGACGAUCUUCUCUCUCCCUUUCAUGAUAGGAGGCCAUCGUUGGCGCAUCUGCUACUACCCUAAUGGCAAACACUCGGAGCAUGCCGACUCUAUAUCUCUUUUUCUUUUUCUCGAUGGAAAUAUUGCUGAGGCAGUAACGGUGAUGUACGACUUUAGUUUUGUCGACCAGCUUGAGAAGCAAAAUUCGGCAUAUAUUCGUUCGGUAGAGCCAAACAAUUUCUCCACUACAAUUCCAUAUUGGGGUUACAAGAGUUUCAUGAAAAGAGACGCCCUUGAGAAAUCAAAGCAUCUAAAGGACGACUGCUUCACCAUCCGAUGUGACAUCACCAUUGCUGGUACCAUUGAUCUCUUCAUCAAGGUACCGCCUUGUAGCAUACAACAACAUAUCAGCGACUUCCUCCUGUUCAAAGAGGGCACUGAUGUGGCAUUCAGGGUGAGUGGUGAGAUGUUCGCUGCCCACCGAUGCGUGCUUGCAGCUCGGUCUGCAGUCUUCAAGGCAGAGUUGUUUGGCCCCAUGAAAGAGAGCACAACAGGAAGUGUCAUGGAUGUAGAAGACAUGGAAGCAAAGGUGUUUAAGGCCUUGCUUGAUUUUAUUUACACCGACUCACUGCCCAAGAUGGAGAUAGACAUGGGGGAUGAGGAAGGAGAAGCCCAGGAAGCAUUGUGGCUGCAACACUUGCUUGCAGCAGCGGAUAAAUAUGAUCUCCAAAGGCUCAAAGGACUAUGUGAAGAGAAGCUGUGUGAACACAUAGAUGUGAGCUCGGUGACGACUAUUCUUACUCUAGCCGAGCAGCAUAAUUGUCAUGGGUUGAAGGGGGUUUGCUUUGAAUUCAUCAAGACUCCCGCCAAUUUGAAGGAGAUAACCGCGGCUGACGGCUUGGAGGAUAUAACUAAAACCUGUCCUUCCCUUCUAAAGGAGCUCAUUGCUAAGUUCGCUUCUUAA
RNAcentral lists this ribosomal RNA (1080 nucleotides) under Triticum aestivum (bread wheat). Its description in RNAcentral is "partial small subunit ribosomal RNA". Lineage: Eukaryota; Viridiplantae; Streptophyta; Magnoliopsida; Poales; Poaceae. The record is from RNAcentral.